This is a long non-coding RNA of Triticum dicoccoides, 930 nucleotides long. RefSeq lists it as uncharacterized. The record is from RefSeq and is a predicted model, not a curated record. NCBI's taxonomy places the organism in Eukaryota, Viridiplantae, Streptophyta, Magnoliopsida, Poales, Poaceae. The transcript has 4 exons.
AUCCGCACCGGGCCUUGGGGUGGAGUUUGGGUCCGUACCUAGACAUGUUAUGCGAGCAAUGUUUCAGGGCUUGUUUCUUGCUCCCCAAAUGGUUGGAGAGGUAGUAAAAACCACAGGGUGGUUUGCUAAUUGCAGAAGUCAUGUCAGCCAAGGGCUAUAGAGUUCAACCACUUCCAAGGGAGCCACGCCAUGAUAUUGUGCAGGCAGUAGAGCUUGGCAACAGGGAGAGACUCAUAGCAUUCUGUGAAGCCGUUCAACAAACUUGCCCAGUAGGAUCAUUUAUUAAGCCAACCGCUGGGGAAACUCCUGGUUAUGCUUCAGAGGUAUGUUUGUAUAACCCCCUUCUAUAAUCAUGUGCUUAUUGUUUUAGCUAUUUUCUAAUAAUAUAUUUCAUGGCAGUUUAUUCCAUGUAUUUACUAUUUUGCUCUAAAUGAUGAUAUGUUAUUGCUAUCUGCAUAGUUCCUUUUUUCUUUGAUACAACAGUGAUUAGUUCACUUGAAUCACAUGUCAAUUUUGCUGAUGGGACACUCAUGGAUGGAAGCACAAGUGAGCUAUCAUGUGACAGGCCCUUAAGAGAUCCAUACGCUGUCUUCUGUUAGAGAGGAACGCAUUGGACACAGUGGGCUCUUGUCCUGGGCGAAGUUCUGAAUGUCAUGUAGCUGUUUGUUAGCAGAAGAAAAAUAAAUAUUCAAGUCAUUUCUGAUCGAAGGUCUGGGUAUCAAGUAUUUGUGUUUGUGUCUACAAGCCUUUGACUUUUUUGUCCAGUCUAUUGUUUAUUUGCAAUGUUGGAUACUCAUGCCAUUUCUUGUGAAUAUUUUUUUUGUUUGUAGUAGUGUUAAUAUACUGUAUGUUAACUCUAUAUUGAAGAAUUUGUGAACAAUCAGUACUGCACCAGUGGUAAUUUAUAGAGGAAGGCAAGGAUAACUAUAU